AGUGAACGCUGGCGGUAGGCCUAACACAUGCGAGUCGAACGGCAGCACAGUAAGAGCUUGCCCUUACGGGUGGCGAGUGGCGGACGGGUGAGGAAUACAUCGGAAUCUACUUUUUCGUGGGGGAUAACGUAGGGAAACUUACGCUAAUACCGCAUACGACCUACGGGUGAAAGCAGGGGAUCUUCGGACCUUGCGCGAUUGAAUGAGCCGAUGUCGGAUUAGCUAGUUGGCGGGGUAAAGGCCCACCAAGGCGACGAUCCGUAGCUGGUCUGAGAGGAUGAUCAGCCACACUGGAACUGAGACACGGUCCAGACUCCUACGGGAGGCAGCAGUGGGGAAUAUUGGACAAUGGGCGCAAGCCUGAUCCAGCCAUACCGCGUGGGUGAAGAAGGCCUUCGGGUUGUAAAGCCCUUUUGUUGGGAAAGAAAAGCAGCAGGUUAAUACCCCGCUGUUCUGACGGUACCCAAAGAAUAAGCACCGGCUAACUUCGUG
RNAcentral lists this ribosomal RNA (492 nucleotides) under uncultured bacterium. RNAcentral describes it as "partial 16S ribosomal RNA". It matches the Rfam family "Bacterial small subunit ribosomal RNA", at positions 29 to 507 of the family's 1533-position model. The record is from RNAcentral.